AGGCUACGAUCAGUAGGGGUUCUGAGAGGAAGGUCCCCCACAUUGGAACUGAGACACGGUCCAAACUCCUACGGGAGGCAGCAGUGAGGAAUAUUGGUCAAUGGACGAGAGUCUGAGCCAGCCAAGUAGCGUGCAGGAUGACGGCCCUAUGGGUUGUAAACUGCUUUUAUAAGGGAAUAAAGUGAGUCUCGUGAGACUUUUUGCAUGUACCUUAUGAAUAAGGACCGGCUAAUUCCGUGCCAGCAGCCGCGGUAAUACGGAAGGUCCGGGCGUUAUCCGGAUUUAUUGGGUUUAAAGGGAGCGUAGGCCGGAGAUUAAGCGUGUUGUGAAAUGUAGAUGCUCAACAUCCGCACUGCAGCGCGAACUGGUUUCCUUGAGUACGCACAAAGUGGGCGGAAUUCGUGGUGUAGCGGUGAAAUGCUUAGAUAUCACGAAGAACUCCGAUUGCGAAGGCAGCUCACUGGAGCGCAACUGACGCUGAAGCUCGAAAGUGCGGGUAUCGAACAGGAUUAGAUACCCUGGUAGUCCGCACGGUAAACGAUGGAUGCCCGCUGUUGGUCUGAA
RNAcentral lists this ribosomal RNA (564 nucleotides) under uncultured bacterium. RNAcentral's name for it is "bacterial SSU rRNA". It matches the Rfam family "Bacterial small subunit ribosomal RNA", at positions 271 to 832 of the family's 1533-position model. The record is from RNAcentral.